UUCUUAGCUGCCGACAGCAUAGUCUUACUACUAAAUUCUUUUUUUUUUUUUAUACUAGAAAUUUGAUUUCAUUGCUGAGUGGCAUAACUAUAAAAAAGUUAAAACUUUCAACAACGGAUCUCUUGGCUCUAGCAUCGAUGAAGAACGCAGCGAAAUGCGAUAAGUAAUGUGAAUUGCAGAAUUCAGUGAAUCAUCGAAUCUUUGAACGCACAUUGCGCCUGGCAGUAUUCUGCCAGGCAUGCCUGUCCGAGCGUCAUUU
Molecule: ribosomal RNA, 259 nt
Filed under: Huntiella moniliformis
Lineage: Eukaryota; Fungi; Ascomycota; Sordariomycetes; Microascales; Ceratocystidaceae
Description: 5.8S ribosomal RNA
Rfam family: 5.8S ribosomal RNA (bases 103-256)
About the family: 5.8S ribosomal RNA (5.8S rRNA) is a component of the large subunit of the eukaryotic ribosome. It is transcribed by RNA polymerase I as part of the 45S precursor that also contains 18S and 28S rRNA.
Source: RNAcentral